CCUACGGGUCACUGCAGUGGGGAAUAUUGGGCAAUGGAGGAAACUCUGACCCAGCAACGCCGCGUGAAGGAUGAAGGUUUUCGGAUUGUAAACUUCUGUUGCGAGGGAUGAAGAAUGAAGGUACCUCGUAAGACAGCCCCGGCAAACUACGUGCCAGCAGCCGCGGGAAUACGUAGGGGGCGAGCGUUGUUCGGAAUGACUGGGCGUAAAGGGAGUGUAGGCGGUGUAUUAAGUUAUGUGUGAAAGCCCGCGGCUCAACCGGGGGAUUGCACAUAAAACUGGUGAGCUGGAGUGCAGGAGAGGUAAGUGGAAUGCCCGGUGUAGCGGUGGAAUGCGUAGAUAUCGGGAGGAACACCAGAGGCGAAGGCGACUUACUGGACUGUAACUGACGCUGAGGCUCGAAGGCGUGGGGAGCAAACAGGAUUAGAUACCCCAGUAGUC
This 441-nucleotide ribosomal RNA is filed under the name uncultured bacterium. RNAcentral describes it as "partial 16S ribosomal RNA". It matches the Rfam family "Bacterial small subunit ribosomal RNA", at positions 338 to 795 of the family's 1533-position model. The record is from RNAcentral.